Molecule: long non-coding RNA, 1333 nt
Filed under: Homo sapiens (human)
Lineage: Eukaryota; Metazoa; Chordata; Mammalia; Primates; Hominidae
Description: HSALNT0179328
Source: RNAcentral
UGCAGACCCGCGCCCUCCUGACCAACGAGAGACCCAAUGAGGGUUAAGAAUGGCUGGAAGGUUCAAGAUUGGGUAUCUGCAUCUGGUGGAGGCCUCAGGCUGCUUCCAUUCAUGGCAAAAGGCCAAGGCAAAGGGGAGCCAGCUGUGCAGAGAUCACUUGGUGACAGAGGAAACAAAAGACGGAUGAAGAAACUAUGACACAGAGAGGCGAAGUAACUUGAUAAGAUCAAAACAAACUCUGAAUAUGCCAAUCCACUACCGUCUAGAAGACUAUGGGGUCUCUGAUGAGAAAUCAGCUAUUAAUCUUAGCAAGGAUCCUUGCAUGUGAUGAGUUACUUCUCUUGAUGCUUUCAACAUUCUCUCUUUACCUUUUGACAGUUUGAUUAUCGUGUGUCUUGGUGUAGUUUAUCCUACUUGGAGUUUCUUGAGCUUCUUAAAUGUGGUUAAUGUUUUUCCUCAAAUUUGAGAAGUUUCUGAGCAUUAUUUAUUUAAAUAUUGUUUUAGUCUGUUCAGGCUGCUAUAACAAAACACCAUAAACUGGGUAGCUUAUAAACAUCGGAAAUUUAUUUCUCACAGUUCUGGAGGUUGGGAAGUCCAAGAUCAAGGAACCGGCAGAUUUGGUAUCUGGUGAAGGACCAUUUUCUGGUUCAGACAGUGCCUUCUCACUGUGUUCUCACGUGGUAGUAGGGCAAGUGAUCUUCUUAUUACUCUAAGAGUGGUAAUCCCAUUCAUGAGGGCUCUACUCCCAUGACCCAGUCACCAUCCAAGUCCCUACCUCCCAAUACCUUGGGGGUUAGGAUUUCAGCAUAUAAAUUUAAAAGACCUCAUCAUAUAAAAAGACACAAACAUUCAGACCAGAGCAAAUAUUCUUUCCAGCCCUCCCGCCUUUCCAUAUGUUACUCUCAUUACACUGUGUCUGCUGUGCAUGUUGGUGCACUUGAGGGUGUCUCACAGGUCUCUAAGGGUCUGCUCUUCAAACUGGAUAUUCCAAUUAAUUUAUCUUCGACUUCACUGAUUCUUUCUUCUGUCUACUCAAUUCUGCUAUCUAAGCCCUUUAGUGAACCAUUCAGUUACUGUACUUUUCAGCUAUAAACUCUGUUUAGUUCCUUUCUAUAAUUUCUAUAUUGAUAUUCUCUAUUUGAUGAUGUAUCAUUCUUCUGGUUUCCUUUAGCAAUUUGAGCAUAAUAAAGACAGCUUACUUAAAGUCUUUGCCUGUGCUUCCCUGGGGGAAGUUUCUGUUCGUUUCCUCUGUAUAAGAGCCUUACUUUGUUUCUUUGUAUGUUUCAUAAUUUUUUGUAGAAAACUGGACAUUUUGAAUAUUACAAUGUGACGA